UGGAACGUAGCUCAGUUGGUAGAGUGGCCGGCUUAUAUCCGGUGGGGCGAAGGUUCAAGUCCUUCCGUUCCGA
RNAcentral lists this transfer RNA (73 nucleotides) under Clostridium sp. AF27-5AA. RNAcentral's name for it is "tRNA-Ile". It matches the Rfam family "tRNA". Rfam says of the family: Transfer RNA (tRNA) molecules are approximately 80 nucleotides in length. Their secondary structure includes four short double-helical elements and three loops (D, anti-codon, and T loops). RNAcentral also lists the same sequence under 1 other name. Lineage: Bacteria; Bacillati; Bacillota; Clostridia; Eubacteriales; Clostridiaceae. The record is from RNAcentral.